UGGAAUCAAAAGAAGUAAAGGAAAAAUAUAAAGGAAGAGUAAAGAUGCUUCUUGUCAUUCAUCCAAUACCCAAUAGCUCAAACAUUGUUCCAAGAAAAUUGCUUUAUCCUCCACAAAACUGGUCCUGCUGCUGGCCAAAGAGAAUUGCCGAGAGAGAGCAUAAAAAACGUUGCAGCACCCUCUGAAUCAGGUAAGUGACGGCUGNAGCUGCCUCCUAGGCCAAGUGUCCAAAAAUAAUGAGGUGGGGUCCACCCCAAANCCCUAGGUGCCAUGUGUUCAUUUUUACAAUUGGGCUUAAGCUAUUCUACCAAAAUUAGCCCACAAUGCAAAGAGUUUGUCUAAAAACUUUAAACAAUUAAAUUUACAAUGUAACUAAAUUUAAAAUGACUAAAUUGGGAGUCUUGAAUUAUUUUGUCUCCUCUCAAUGCUCCAAAAUAUAUCUCCAAAAUUUCCCCUGCAAUUANNNNNNNNNNNNNNNNNNNNNNNNNNNNNNNNNNNCAUCAGUUCCUGAACAGGUGGAGAAGGCAUACAAGGAGUCUGGAAUGAUGGUUCCUGAUAUUGAUGCUCUGAAGUACCAUACCAUCCCAAGCUAGGGUCAUUCCAUCCAGGAUCGUUACUGUGACCAUACUGAGCAAGGAAGAAUUUAUCCAAGAACGUAUGCUUAAGAUUUUCCCAAGAAGUGAUGGAUCUUGGAGGAAGAUAAUACAAUCAACCCCUUGCUGCUUCUUGUAAUGAAUACGGAAAUGCCCUUAUAAACAUGACUUCAUCCGGGACAUCAGGAGGUUUCCUUGAAGAGCAAAUGGUGUAGAACUCCUCCAAAUGUCUAUGUGGGCAUUCACCUGCAAAACCAUAAAACCUAGGUAGCAAAUGUAUCAGUCCAGUGUUGAAAACACAACGAAUAUCCUCCUCAUCAAGUGGAACCGGCUCCCUAGGAGCACUCUCAUGAGAUGGAGGAGGAACCAUAAUGUUCUCAACAUAGACAUCAGCUGAGUAUACAUCACAAGCAAUAUCAGAGUCAGAUGCAGAAGGAUAGUCAUAGACACAGGC
This 1047-nucleotide long non-coding RNA is filed under the name Vigna radiata. RNAcentral's name for it is "long non-coding RNA (VRAD_LNC012077)". The record is from RNAcentral. Lineage: Eukaryota; Viridiplantae; Streptophyta; Magnoliopsida; Fabales; Fabaceae.